Physeter macrocephalus (sperm whale) is the source of this 591-nucleotide long non-coding RNA. RefSeq lists it as uncharacterized. The record is from RefSeq and is a predicted model, not a curated record. NCBI's taxonomy places the organism in Eukaryota, Metazoa, Chordata, Mammalia, Artiodactyla, Physeteridae. The transcript is spliced from 4 exons.
UGUGCGCGUGUCUGCGCGCUGCGCCGCUCGGCGCGCUCGGCAAUCGAUUACAGGACAAGUGCUGCCCCGGUGGCUCCGCGACGCGCGCCCUCCCUCGCGCCCACCCGCGCCGCCCCUGACCCGGUGCCCCCAGACGGCGGACCCCGCCCCCAAAGGGGGGGUACCAGUAUCUAAAAGAAUCUCUAUCUGCUGCCUGGAGAAGGAGAAGAGGCUAUGAGGAAACAAGAGUGGAAACAGGAUGACGAUUAAGAGGCUAUUUGCAAUUGUCCAGGACACAGAUACAGUUAGAGCAGUAAUGAUGGACAUGAGCAUAGAUAAAAUUUCCUGUGUGGCACUCAAUAUCUCCAAGACCUAGGAUACUCCUUGAGAUGUAUGGUACUAUUUUGAGAACCACAGGAAUGCAUUUUUGUGGCAGACGAUUCCACGUGGCGUAUGAACAUUUUUCAGCUAGUAGUUUAUACCUUUAAAAGAAGACAUUGUUACACUGUUCUGUUUACCUUUUUCAAUAAAAUGUAAGAGUCACUGAAGGCUCUCCCAGUUAAUUUUUAAAUUAUUUUGUCCUACUCUAGAAUAGCUUUUCGAAUUAAACUU